AUACGAAGGGGGCUAGCGUUGUUCGGAAUUACUGGGCGUAAAGCGCGCGUAGGCGGACUGAUCAGUUGGGGGUGAAAUCCCAGGGCUUAACCCUGGAACUGCCUCCAAUACUGUCAGUCUUGAGUUCGGGAGAGGUGAGUGGAAUUCCUAGUGUAGAGGUGAAAUUCGUAGAUAUUAGGAAGAACACCAGUGGCGAAGGCGGCUCACUGGCCCGAUACUGACGCUGAGGCGCGAAAGCGUGGGUAGCAAACAGGAUUAGAAACCCGAGUAGUCC
Molecule: ribosomal RNA, 274 nt
Filed under: uncultured bacterium
Lineage: Bacteria
Description: partial 16S ribosomal RNA
Rfam family: Bacterial small subunit ribosomal RNA
Source: RNAcentral